Molecule: ribosomal RNA, 785 nt
Filed under: Lacticaseibacillus paracasei
Lineage: Bacteria; Bacillati; Bacillota; Bacilli; Lactobacillales; Lactobacillaceae
Description: bacterial SSU rRNA
Rfam family: Bacterial small subunit ribosomal RNA
Source: RNAcentral
CUCGUUGAUGAUCGGUGCUUGCACCGAGAUUCAACAUGGAACGAGUGGCGGACGGGUGAGUAACACGUGGGUAACCUGCCCUUAAGUGGGGGAUAACAUUUGGAAACAGAUGCUAAUACCGCAUAGAUCCAAGAACCGCAUGGUUCUUGGCUGAAAGAUGGCGUAAGCUAUCGCUUUUGGAUGGACCCGCGGCGUAUUAGCUAGUUGGUGAGGUAAUGGCUCACCAAGGCGAUGAUACGUAGCCGAACUGAGAGGUUGAUCGGCCACAUUGGGACUGAGACACGGCCCAAACUCCUACGGGAGGCAGCAGUAGGGAAUCUUCCACAAUGGACGCAAGUCUGAUGGAGCAACGCCGCGUGAGUGAAGAAGGCUUUCGGGUCGUAAAACUCUGUUGUUGGAGAAGAAUGGUCGGCAGAGUAACUGUUGUCGGCGUGACGGUAUCCAACCAGAAAGCCACGGCUAACUACGUGCCAGCAGCCGCGGUAAUACGUAGGUGGCAAGCGUUAUCCGGAUUUAUUGGGCGUAAAGCGAGCGCAGGCGGUUUUUUAAGUCUGAUGUGAAAGCCCUCGGCUUAACCGAGGAAGCGCAUCGGAAACUGGGAAACUUGAGUGCAGAAGAGGACAGUGGAACUCCAUGUGUAGCGGUGAAAUGCGUAGAUAUAUGGAAGAACACCAGUGGCGAAGGCGGCUGUCUGGUCUGUAACUGACGCUGAGGCUCGAAAGCAUGGGUAGCGAACAGGAUUAGAUACCCUGGUAGUCCAUGCCGUAAACGAUGAAUGCUAGGUG